CCCUUAGAGUUUGAUCCUGGCUCAGGACGAACGCUGGCGGCGUGCUUAACACAUGCAAGUGGAGCGACGAACCAGGGCUUGCCCUGGGGCAGAGCCGCGAACGGGUGAGUAACACGUGGGUAACCUACCCCGAUGACCGGGACAACCCGAGGAAACUCGGGCUAAUACCGGAUGUUCUCUCUUCUCGUAAGGGAAGUGAGCAAAGAUAGCUUCGGCCUUCGCAUCGGGACGGGCCCGCGGCCCAUUAGCUUGUUGGUGGGGUAACGGCCUACCAAGGCGACGAUGGGUAGCUGGUCUGAGAGGACGAUCAGCCACACUGGGACUGAGACACGGCCCAGACUCCUACGGGAGGCAGCAGUGGGGAAUCUUGCGCAAUGGGCGAAAGCCUGACGCAGCAACGCCGCGUGGGGGAAGAAGGCCUUCGGGUUGUAAACCCCUUUCAGUUGGGACGAAGCUUCCAGGGUUAAUAGCUCUGUGGAGUGACGGUACCUUCAGAAGAAGCCCCGGCUAACUACGUGCCGGCAGCCGCGGUAAUACGUAGGGGGCUAGCGUUGUCCGGAAUCAUUGGGCGUAAAGCGCGUGCAGGCGGUCCGGUAAGUCCGCUGUGAAAGUCGGGGGCUCAACCCUCGGAUGCCGGUGGAUACUGUCGGGCUUGAGUACGGAAGAGGCGAGUGGAAUUCCUGGUGUAGCGGUGAAAUGCGCA
Molecule: ribosomal RNA, 703 nt
Filed under: uncultured bacterium
Lineage: Bacteria
Description: bacterial SSU rRNA
Rfam family: Bacterial small subunit ribosomal RNA
Source: RNAcentral